GGAGAAAAGCAAGGAGCUCAACUACUGGUUUCUCAAAUCCUGUGAUAGUAAACAGCUUUGUGGGUGUUUUGUCUUGCAUAGAGAUCCUGGGUGUGUUCCUCUUCAUCCUCUUUUUAGCAUGGACUUAUUAUACCCGCAUCUCUAACGAUUUCAAGAACUUGAUGCCAAUCAAAUCUCUGAAAUUGAAUUUAUGGCAACUCAAGUAUCUGAGAGUGGCAACCCGUUUUGGUUUGCUAGCAGAAGCCUGCCUGGCUUUGCUUCUUCUGCCUAUUUUAAGGGGCCUGGCCUUAUUUCAAUUACUUGGCAUCCAAUUUGAAGCUUCAGUAAGAUACCAUAUCUGGCUUGGGACUUCAAUGAUAUUUUUUGCCACUGUUCAUGGUGGAAGCACCUUGUUCAUCUGGGGUGUCAGCCACCAUAUUCAAGAUGAGAUGUGGAGAUGGCAGAAAACAGGGAGGAUAUACUUAGCUGGGGAGAUAGCUCUUGUCACUGGACUAGUAAUCUGGAUUACAUCACUUCCUCAAAUAAGGAGGAAAAGAUUCGAAAUCUUCUACUACACACACCAUCU
Molecule: unclassified non-coding RNA, 565 nt
Filed under: Hevea brasiliensis (rubber tree)
Lineage: Eukaryota; Viridiplantae; Streptophyta; Magnoliopsida; Malpighiales; Euphorbiaceae
Source: RNAcentral